Phyllostomus discolor (pale spear-nosed bat) is the source of this 4178-nucleotide long non-coding RNA. RefSeq lists it as uncharacterized. The transcript has 2 exons. Lineage: Eukaryota; Metazoa; Chordata; Mammalia; Chiroptera; Phyllostomidae. The record is from RefSeq and is a predicted model, not a curated record.
CUCAUUUGCAUAACGUCAUUCUUCCGCCUCGCUGCAGCCAAUCGCAGCUCAGGAGCCUACUGGCUCGCAUUGCAGGGCCACGCUCCCUCAUUAACAUCCCUCUCCCGGCGGCUCCCGGGAGCCGGCCAAAGUUCCUCGUAAAGUGGCGAGCAAAGGAUCGCUGGGCUCCUGCGUUCAGCUGGGGAGCAGCGGGGCUGAGCAGGGCAGAGCCGGGCUGGAGAAGGGGGACAGAAGGAAAGGGAGGGAGAUAUUCUUCUUAAGGAUUUGAGCUAGGAUCCGCAUCCUGGCCGUUGCGGUCUGUUUAGCAUCCUCGCUGCACCCUGAGCGCGCUGGAGGCGCACAGGCUUCCCCUUCCCAAGGCGGAUGCCGCGUCCUGCUCCGCUGCUCUGGGACGUCGGGGGCAAAAGUGAAGGAGACGGGAGACCCCGGGCAGAAAAAGCAGGAUGCGCGUCCCAGGAAGUCGCGUCCCCGGAAGGGGCCACCUAUCCCGGGAAAGGUCCUCUUCCGUUUGCCGCUAGCCAGAGGCCGCCGAGAGUGAGACCGGAGGAAAGGCGCCUGCUUCAGUGCUGAGAAGAACGCAAAGGGAAAGAUGGGGACCAGGAAGGCCAAAGGCGCCAAGUCCCUCUGCACGCCGCCCGCGCCGAAGGCGUCGACUGGCAGCGUGGAGUGGCGGCCGCGGCUGGGCACAGGCCAGGGCGCUGCCCGCAGGAGGAGAGGGUUGGGGGUCGGAAGCAGCAGCGGGGAAGCCUUGGGAAAGUGAGGACUUGAAUGCAGCACAGCUCCACAGGGUCCCCUGAGCGGUACCCAGAUGCCGCAGGGCUGGCGGAGCAACAGAGUCCUGUGGCCCGCGGGCGAAAUCCUGCCCCUGCCCAGCCCCCCCACCCCACCCCAAGGUCUCUCUUCCCGCCGCCUUCUGGGAACUCGUAGGAGUCCCAGGACAAGGUUGCACGGGAAAUCUGUCUCUUCCUCCUCCGUGCUCUCAGCCAUCUCUGGCAAGUGGCAAAAAAAAAAAAAAAAAAAGGAAGCAUUUCCCCGACCUGAUCCCAGUUUUCGACCCCCGUCACCCAGCGCUGCGGAGAAGUUUCCCUUUGCUCGCCCUGUGUGACUGACACUUCCAGCCCCUGGGAGCGCACCUCGCCCUGUAGUGCAGACAGGGAAACCGAGGCCCAGGAAGUGACCAGGAUACCCACAGGCGGCUAAGACAUAGAGAGCAGGCAUACAACACCGUGGGGAUCAGUCUGGGGCUUAGGAGCCCCUAAAUCUGCCUAGGACGAGGGCUUGGGGCACGGUUCGAACACACCUUUCCCGGAGCGAGCCUGACGACUCUCUCGGGUUUCCCCUGGGCGGUCCCCAGAUAAUAAUAGAUCUCACUUGUUGAAGGCUUUACGGGCAUAAACUCACUGAAUUCCGACAACAGACCAAGAAGGCAGGUAAGAUCACUCCUCCCGUUUUACAGGUGAGGAAGCUGACGCCCUAUGGUUGAAAUGAAUCAACCUGUUUAAGACCACACUGCUAAUAAAGUCGCCGCGCCAAAAUCACUCCAGAGCCUGUGCCCUUAACCUUGGCUCCGAACCACUCGAUCAGCGGUUGCGCCCUUUUCCCGAAUUCGCUUGGUGCUUGCCCCCCAACAUUCAUAGAUCCCUUUAGCUCACAAGCCCCUGGGUAUCCCGAUGACAAAGGAGCUUGAGGGCAAGUUGCCUCCUGAGGGCAGGCAGCAGAUGGGAGAGGAGAGGGGAAAGGGUCGUGCAAAAUCCUAAUUAGAGGGCUGGAUGCGCAUCCUUGAGAUCCGGUGUAGACGCAUGACCCUUCUGGCCUCCUGGGAUAGGCUGCACCAGGGUCGCGUCAGCUCCAGCCCUGGCUCUGCCACAUUUUGCUACGUGAACUCCAGCCAUCCGCUUCUUCCACCGCUUGCUGAGGUCCCAGAGCUCCAGGCGCAGGCAAAGUCGCCUGGUUGAAACAGACUAAACACAAAGACUUUGCGGGGAUGCCUGCGACGCCCAUCAGAGGGCAGAAAUCUGGACAUCUGCGGAGGAGCUUUAAUGGAGGAAGACCAUAUACCCUUGGCAUUACCAUAAAUAGCUAAAAGCUAAAGUUAUUCUGAGCGGAGAGAAGAAUACAGUUAGGACACGGCGGAAAAGUAUCUCCUAAUCAACGGGUGUCGCAGGGCGCGACCGUACCUCACCCUAGCCCUUCCCCACCGCCCUCCAAACCGCACGAUUGGAAAAGAAUCAGGAAAGGGCCCUAGCUCUCCCCCUUGGCUGAAGGAGGCUCCAGGGUGGGAGAAGGGAGCUACAGGCUGUUUGUAAGUUAGCAUCCCUUCAGCAAGGCAAACCCGUAUGCAAGAACCUGAGGCCAGCGAAGAUUUGGAGGAGGAGGCCUGUUUGCUUGUGGGGAAGUGGGAGAACAGAGGUGCAGUUUAACACAGAAGCUUGAGUUGCCCAGGUUACAGUUCACUGGGUAUUUACACACGGCUCACCGCUGGAAGGUCUUUGUCAGCUACCGAGAUGCGUGUGAUGUGAGUGUGCAUCUAUUCCUGUGUGAUAGAAGAGUGGCUGCAUAUUUGUGCGCCCAUGCAGUUGGAGCCCGUGCCCGUGACAGCAAGCGCUUGGGUGCACGUGUGGGCAUGUGCUUGAGGAUUGUUGCACACUGGCGUGAGUACAUGUGUGUGUAAUGUGUCCGUGUCACGCAUCUUGUUUAUGUGAGUGGGCGUGCAUGUGCAGAAAUACGUGUGUGUGCGAGAGUAUUUUACACUAGUGGGUGGGCCUCCACUCACACGUGAAUCGUGUGUGUCCGUAUGUGCAAGUGAAAUGCAGCAAGGAAGUCCCUAAAAUCUCGGCUUGGGUCAAAAGCUAGGUGCAGGUAGAGCGCAGACUUAUCGCCCCAGGGCCGGCGUCAAAACUUGCUCCUUCCGCCUACAGGGAGCAGGGACCGCCUGCGGGGCGUGGGGCUCGCUCGGCCGCAGCAGGUUAGCUGUCAUCCCGGCUCAGGUCAGGCGAAGGGGGUUCCCACCGGGGCGCCACAGAUGACCGAGAUGAGGCUCGCAAUGAUCCCUGCUGGACAGUUCCGCGCCCUUAAUUGUUCCUUGCGGACAGUUUCUGAUAUAUUGAUGCCGUGUGUCCUAAAGGAGACCACUUCCGGGUUAUUUGCUUAGGCAUUUAUUAUCUUUAUCACUGUCAUUAUUUGACGGCUGUAUGAAAACGGUGCCAAACCCACCGACACAGCCUCCCUCUGCCUGCUGAAAGCCACCCUGGGCGUGAGACUCGCGGGUGCGCGAAUCUUCUCCUUUCGUGGAGCCACAGCGCCACCUUGCGAUACCCCAGCGUCCCACUUUGCAGGAGCCUCCAGACUCCCCGAACACGCCUGGCCCCCUACCUUGGUUCACGGGACUGGAAUGGCUACACCCGUUUCCACUCGGAGAAGCUCCGCUCCCUCCCCUUACAGUCACCGCCUCAAAGUGAACCUCUUUUGUGAAACUUCUACAAACUCCUUCUAGGCAUCAUUAGUGCCUUCCCUGAUUUCCCUAGUAUUCAUAUUACACUGGACAGGAAAUAUGAUUUAAAUGCCUCUCUCCCCUCCCCAGUCGGGAAUUCCCAACAAUGACUAUUGUUGUUUGGGCAUAAUCACAAUUAUAUGAUUGUCAUAUAGUAAUAACAAUACAAAUAAUAAUAAAACCUAGUGUGUAUUGAGUACAUACUAUAGAGCAUCUUAUGCAAUGUGCCCUACUAAGCACUUUCCUUUCAUUAUCUCAUUUAAUUUUCCCAGGAAAAAAUAUAUAUAAUAAUUUCCCAGGCUGCAGUCGAGGCUAGAGGGUUCCUGUGCAAGGUCACAUUGUAGAGCCCAACCCACAUCUGUAUGUCUGAUGCCACGGCCCACUUCUCUAAAGUUCUAGGCCUUGCAGACUUACUCAGCUCUGUAUCCACAGGCUAUAAGACAGGACCAGGCUGAGUGACCACCUGUAUACUUAUGAAUAAAUGAACCACUGCCAAUUUAAAUUCUUUCUUUCCUGACAGAAUUGGGCUAGAAAACUGCUCCAGUUAUCAGAUACCUUGAUUGAAAGGUUACCACAAAGAUUUAUCCCCAAAGAGUAUAUUCCAUUACCAACCAGCUGGGUGACCUUGGUCCAGUCACUUCAUCCUCAAUUUCCUCAUGUGUGAAAGUAGGUUUGCCAUGAGAAUUAA